GGCUUCCUGCCCUGCACGUUAUGGAGGGAAAAGGGGAUCCGGCAGUUGGAUCGUUUGGGAGCCAGCGUAGAUAGUGGUGUGCAUGCCUUUCAGGAGGAAGCCUAAGCUAUCUACAAGGCACCCACUUGUCAAUAGGGGAUCUGACUUUCCUACCAGACGGCAGGGCGGGGUUAUG
Molecule: non-coding RNA, 175 nt
Filed under: Thermodesulfovibrio aggregans
Lineage: Bacteria; Pseudomonadati; Nitrospirota; Thermodesulfovibrionia; Thermodesulfovibrionales; Thermodesulfovibrionaceae
Description: 6S RNA
Rfam family: 6S / SsrS RNA
About the family: E. coli 6S RNA was the first non coding RNA to be sequenced, but its function was unknown until recently. It consists of 184 nucleotides that fold into an extended hairpin structure with a large single-stranded internal bulge.
Source: RNAcentral